CUCAAGGCGGGAGUCCAGUGUAAAGAAAAAUUCACAUAAACAUGGCAGCAGCACGAGAAGCUGCUGCGGUGACUCAGCAAACAGGCCAGCAGCCUCAUCUUCAAUCUGUGGUCCUUCUUUCACAAUCACCGACAGAAUCUAAAAAUAUGUAGGUGGCAACGCGGUCAACAGUGGGAAAUGUUAUUGUACCGCGGUCAACAGAUUAUUGUCGAAUCCUUGACGGCUCAACACUCCAGCCAACUCGACAAACGUUUGUGAGGGUGGCGAAUGAGCUAUUCCAAGACGGGACAUUUAACUGGGGCAGAGUGGUCGCGCUGUUCUACGUGGCUGUUCGACUUGUGAUCAAGGCAAGGAUGCUCACUAACUAACAAACUAUAUUUAAAAUAUACAAUUUAUAUAUUUUUGUUUUAUUUUUCUUUUUUACACGCGAGUGUGUGCGCGCGCCAGAGUCGGAUGGAACAAGGAGGACAAUCCCACUUUUGUACCAUAUUCUCUCUCUCUUUCUCUCUCUCUCUCUCAGAGUUCUUGACAGCUCAACACUGCAGCCAACUAGAGAAACGUUUGUGAAGGUGGUGAAUGAGCUUUUCAGGGAUGGGACAUUUUCCUGGGGUAGAGUGGUGUUGCUGUUCUACCUAGCUGGUCGACUUGUGAUCAAGGCAAGAACACUAAUUAACUCUGCCUUAAAGAAAGCCUUCCUUCCGUCUCCAAGACAGGAUUCUU
Molecule: long non-coding RNA, 720 nt
Organism: Ictalurus punctatus (channel catfish)
Lineage: Eukaryota; Metazoa; Chordata; Actinopteri; Siluriformes; Ictaluridae
Source: Ensembl